ACUUUUCUAGUAUAACACAGUAUGAGUGACUUCCACUCACUCGGCCUUAAUCAAAUUAAGGAAAAGUA
This 68-nucleotide transfer RNA is filed under the name Bipes tridactylus. RNAcentral's name for it is "tRNA-Gly". The record is from RNAcentral. Lineage: Eukaryota; Metazoa; Chordata; Lepidosauria; Squamata; Bipedidae.